CAAAAAUGGCUGUAGAUUUGUUAAAUUAUUCGAAUUUGAAUGAACAAUUAGCUUUACAAGAAGCUGCUACAGCCGGUUUAAAAUCUAUGGAUAAUUUAAUCCGGUUCGUUUCAUUUCAACAACAGCAAAAUCAAACGGUUCAGCCGGAUUGUAGAGAGAUAACUGAUUAUACUGUUUCGAAUUUUAGAAAGGUUAUUACUAUUUUGAACCGGACCGGUCAUGCCCGGUUUAGACGUAGUCCGGUUCAGGUUACUGAUGAUUCGUCUACGGCUUUAACUCUAUCGCCGUUGACAAAUCCGGCGGAGGAAACUGUACCGGCGGUGAAAGUACCGGUUGAGAAGUAUCAACCGAAGGCGUUGACUUUAGAUUUUACGAAACGGAAAGUUGGUAAAUCUAUUGGAUGUGAAGCUGUUCCGGUAGCGAGUUCGACGACGUCGUCGUCGUUUAUGUCGACGAUUACAGGUGAAGGAAGUGUUUCGAAUGGUAAAGUGUUUUCGUCGAUGAAUUUACCUCCUCGUCCGCCUGUUUCCUCCGCGAAGCCGCCAAUCGCCGGGAAAAGAUGUCGUGAUCAUGAGCUGUCUGAUGAAUUUUCCGGUAGAACUUCUAGCUCCGGGAAGUGUCAGUGCAAAAAGAGGAAAUCUCGAGUAAAAAAAGUGAUCAGAGUUCCGGCGAUCAGUUCAAAAACUGCUGAUAUUCCGGCAGAUGAAUACUCAUGGAGAAAGUACGGUCAAAAGCCGAUCAAAGGUUCACCAUACCCAAGGUAGUUACACAUACACCAUUAUCAAUCAUCACGGUUCAGUUUUUUGUACGAAUGAAAUUUCCAGAUCUGAAACUUCACUUCAAUUUUCAGGGGAUAUUACCGAUGUAGUAGUGUUAGAGGCUGUCCGGCGAGAAAGCACGUAGAAAGAGCCACCGAUGAUCCUGGAAUGCUUGUUGUGACUUACGGCGGAGAGCAUCGUCAUGUUCAAACCACGAUCUCCGGCAACGUCACCGGCGCUGGAGCUGGAAGUUCCGGCGAGAGAAUGAUGGCUUUUGAGUUAACAGGACAGAAAAAUGGAGAAAGAUUAGGGUUAGAGAUUUAGGGACUGUUUUUGUAAUUUCGAAAUAGUGGAGGGGUGGAAAUUGACAUAUGAGAAAGCUUAAAAGCGUAGAAAAGUCAAUAGUUUGGUGGCAGUUGAGGGGUGUGUAUGUAAAUUUGGGAAAUUUUGACUACUUUUUAUUUAAUACGAAAAUCGAGAAGGUUUAGAAAUUUUCAAGUUUGACUAUACUUUUACUUUUUUAUUUGAAAAAAUAGAAAAAUAUUUCUUAUCUUUA
RNAcentral lists this unclassified non-coding RNA (1314 nucleotides) under Hevea brasiliensis (rubber tree). The record is from RNAcentral. Lineage: Eukaryota; Viridiplantae; Streptophyta; Magnoliopsida; Malpighiales; Euphorbiaceae.